CUACGGGACGCAGCAGUGGGGAAUAUUGCACAAUGGGGGAAACCCUGAUGCAGCGACGCCGCGUGAGUGAAGAAGUAUUUCGGUACGUAAAGCUCUAUCAGCAGGGAAGAUAAUGACGGUACCUGACUAAGAAGCCCCGGCUAACUACGUGCCAGCAGCCGCGGUAAUACGUAGGGGGCAAGCGUUAUCCGGAUUUACUGGGUGUAAAGGGUGCGUAGGUGGCAGGGCAAGUCAGAUGUGAAAGCCCGGGGCUCAACCCCGGUACUGCAUUUGAAACUGUCCAGCUGGAGUGCAGGAGAGGUAAG
This 305-nucleotide ribosomal RNA is filed under the name uncultured bacterium. RNAcentral describes it as "bacterial SSU rRNA". It matches the Rfam family "Bacterial small subunit ribosomal RNA", at positions 339 to 661 of the family's 1533-position model. The record is from RNAcentral.